RNAcentral lists this ribosomal RNA (661 nucleotides) under uncultured bacterium. RNAcentral describes it as "bacterial SSU rRNA". It matches the Rfam family "Bacterial small subunit ribosomal RNA", at positions 1 to 675 of the family's 1533-position model. The record is from RNAcentral.
CGAUUAGAGUUUGAUCCUGGCUCAGGACGAACGCUGGCGGCGUGCUUAAUACAUGCAAGUCGAACGGGGUCCAACUAGUAGCAAUACUAGGGAAGACCUAGUGGCGAACGGGUGCGUAACACGUGAGCAACCUGCCUCGAAGACUGGAAUAACACCGGGAAACCGAUGCUAAUACCGGAUACCCCCACGGACCCGCAUGGGUCUGUGAGGAAAGGAUUCUGCUUCGAGAGGGGCUCGCGGCCUAUCAGCUUGUUGGUGGGGUAACGGCCUACCAAGGCAACGACGGGUAGCUGGUCUGAGAGGACGAUCAGCCACACUGGGACUGAGACACGGCCCAGACUCCUACGGGAGGCAGCAGUAGGGAAUCUUGCGCAAUGGGCGAAAGCCUGACGCAGCAACGCCGCGUGGGGGAUGAAGGCCCUCGGGUUGUAAACUCCUUUCAGUGGGAACGAAAUUGACGGUACCCACAGAAGAAGCCCCGGCUAACUACGUGCCAGCAGCCGCGGUGAUACGUAGGGGGCGAGCGUUGUCCGGAUUCACUGGGCGUAAAGAGCUCGUAGGCGGCUUGAUAAGUCGGGUGUGAAACCCCCAGGCUCAACCUGGGAUCGCCACUCGAUACUGUCAUGGCUAGAGUCCGGUAGGGACCAUGGAAUUCCUGGGG